AGAGUUUGAUCAUGGCUCAGGAUGAACGCUAGCGGCAGGCUUAAUACAUGCAAGUCGUGGGGCAGCGCAGUGUAGCAAUACAUGGGCGGCGACCGGCAAACGGGUGCGGAACACGUACGCAACCUUCCUUCAAGUGGGGGAUAGCCCAGGGAAACUUGGAUUAAUACCCCGUAACAUUACGGAGUGGCAUCACUUUGUAAUUAUAGCAGCAAUGCGCUAGAAGAUGGGCGUGCGCCUGAUUAGGUAGUUGGCGGGGUAACGGCCCACCAAGCCUACGAUCAGUAACUGGUGUGAGAGCACGACCAGUCACACGGGCACUGAGACACGGGCCCGACUCCUACGGGAGGCAGCAGUAAGGAAUAUUGGUCAAUGGACGCAAGUCUGAACCAGCCAUGCCGCGUGGAGGAUGAAGGUCCUCUGGAUUGUAAACUUCUUUUAUCUGGGAAGAAACCCAAGAUUUCUAUUUUGGUUGACGGUACCAGAUGAAUAAGCACCGGCUAACUCCGUGCCAGCAGCCGCGGUAAUACGGAGGGUGCAAGCGUUAUCCGGAUUCACUGGGUUUAAAGGGUGCGUAGGCGGGCAGGUAAGUCAGUGGUGAAAUCCCCGAGCUUAACUUGGGAACUGCCGUUGAUACUAUCUGUCUUGAAUACUGUGGAGGUAAGCGGAAUAUGUCAUGUAGCGGUGAAAUGCUUAGAUAUGACAUAGAACACCUAUUGCGAAGGCAGCUUGCUACACAGUCAUUGACGCUGAGGCACGAAAGCGUGGGGAUCAAACAGGAUUAGAUACCCUGGUAGUCC
This 797-nucleotide ribosomal RNA is filed under the name uncultured prokaryote. RNAcentral's name for it is "bacterial SSU rRNA". It matches the Rfam family "Bacterial small subunit ribosomal RNA", at positions 8 to 796 of the family's 1533-position model. The record is from RNAcentral.